GGUUAAGCGACUAAGCGUACACGGUGGAUGCCCUGGCAGUCAGAGGCGAUGAAGGACGUGCUAAUCUGCGAAAAGCGUCGGUAAGGUGAUAUGAACCGUUAUAGCCGGCGAUGUCCGAAUGGGGAAACCCAGUGCAAUUCGUUGCACUAUCGUUAACUGAAUACAUAGGUUAACGAGGCGAACCGGGGGAACUGAAACAUCUAAGUACCCCGAGGAAAAGAAAUCAACCGAGAUUCCCCCAGUAGCGGCGAGCGAACGGGGAGCAGCCCAGAGUCUGAAUCAGCUUGUGUGUUAGUGGAACGGUCUGGAAAGUCCGACGGUACAGGGUGAUAGUCCCGUACACCAAAAUGCACAGGUUGUGAACUCGAAGAGUAGGGCGGGACACGUGGUAUCCUGUCUGAAUAUGGGGGGACCAUCCUCCAAGGCUAAAUACUCCUGACUGACCGAUAGUGAACCAGUACCGUGAGGGAAAGGCGAAAAGAACCCCGGCGAGGGGAGUGAAAAAGAACCUGAAACCGUGUACGUACAAGCAGUGGGAGCACCUUCGGGUGUGACUGCGUACCUUUUGUAUAAUGGGUCAGCGACUUAUAUUCUGUAGCAAGGUUAACCGUAUAGGGGAGCCGCAGGGAAACCGAGUCUUAACUGGGCGUUAAGUUGCAGGGUAUAGACCCGAAACCCGGUGAUCUAGCCAUGGGCAGGUUGAAGGUUGGGUAACACUAACUGGAGGACCGAACCGACUAAUGUUGAAAAAUUAGCGGAUGACUUGUGGCUGGGGGUGAAAGGCCAAUCAAACCGGGAGAUAGCUGGUUCUCCCCGAAAGCUAUUUAGGUAGCGCCUCGUGAAUUCAUCUUCGGGGGUAGAGCACUGUUUCGGCUAGGGGGUCAUCCCGACUUACCAACCCGAUGCAAACUACGAAUACCGAAGAAUGUUAUCACGGGAGACACACGGCGGGUGCUAACGUCCGUCGUGAAGAGGGAAACAACCCAGACCGCCAGCUAAGGUCCCAAAGUCAUGGUUAAGUGGGAAACGAUGUGGGAAGGCACAGACAGCCAGGAUGUUGGCUUAGAAGCAGCCAUCAUUUAAAGAAAGCGUAAUAGCUCACUGGUCGAGUCGGCCUGCGCGGAAGAUGUAACGGGGCUAAACCAUGCACCGAAGCUGCGGCAGCGACACUAUGUGUUGUUGGGUAGGGGAGCGUUCUGUAAGCCUGCGAAGGUGACCUGUGAGGGUUGCUGGAGGUAUCAGAAGUGCGAAUGCUGACAUAAGUAACGAUAAAGCGGGUGAAAAGCCCGCUCGCCGGAAGACCAAGGGUUCCUGUCCAACGUUAAUCGGGGCAGGGUGAGUCGACCCCUAAGGCGAGGCCGAAAGGCGUAGUCGAUGGGAAACAGGUUAAUAUUCCUGUACUUGGUGUUACUGCGAAGGGGGGACGGAGAAGGCUAUGUUAGCCGGGCGACGGUUGUCCCGGUUUAAGCAUGUAGGCUGGUUAUCCAGGCAAAUCCGGAUAAUCAAGGCUGAGGUGUGAUGACGAGGCACUACGGUGCUGAAGUAACAAAUGCCCUGCUUCCAGGAAAAGCCUCUAAGCAUCAGGUAACAUCAAAUCGUACCCCAAACCGACACAGGUGGUCAGGUAGAGAAUACCAAGGCGCUUGAGAGAACUCGGGUGAAGGAACUAGGCAAAAUGGUGCCGUAACUUCGGGAGAAGGCACGCUGGUGUGUAGGUGAAGUCCCUGCGGAUGGAGCUGAGACCAGUCGAAGAUACCAGCUGGCUGCAACUGUUUAUUAAAAACACAGCACUGUGCAAACACGAAAGUGGACGUAUACGGUGUGACGCCUGCCCGGUGCCGGAAGGUUAAUUGAUGGGGUUAUCCGUAAGGAGAAGCUCUUGAUCGAAGCCCCGGUAAACGGCGGCCGUAACUAUAACGGUCCUAAGGUAGCGAAAUUCCUUGUCGGGUAAGUUCCGACCUGCACGAAUGGCGUAAUGAUGGCCAGGCUGUCUCCACCCGAGACUCAGUGAAAUUGAACUCGCUGUGAAGAUGCAGUGUACCCGCGGCAAGACGGAAAGACCCCGUGAACCUUUACUAUAGCUUGACACUGAACAUUGAGCCUUGAUGUGUAGGAUAGGUGGGAGGCUUUGAAGCGUGGACGCCAGUCUGCGUGGAGCCAACCUUGAAAUACCACCCUUUAAUGUUUGAUGUUCUAACGUUGGCCCCUUACCGGGGUUGCGGACAGUGUCUGGUGGGUAGUUUGACUGGGGCGGUCUCCUCCCAAAGCGUAACGGAGGAGCACGAAGGUUAGCUAAUCCUGGUCGGACAUCAGGAGGUUAGUGCAAUGGCAUAAGCUAGCUUGACUGCGAGCGUGACGGCGCGAGCAGGUGCGAAAGCAGGUCAUAGUGAUCCGGUGGUUCUGAAUGGAAGGGCCAUCGCUCAACGGAUAAAAGGUACUCCGGGGAUAACAGGCUGAUACCGCCCAAGAGUUCAUAUCGACGGCGGUGUUUGGCACCUCGAUGUCGGCUCAUCACAUCCUGGGGCUGAAGUAGGUCCCAAGGGUAUGGCUGUUCGCCAUUUAAAGUGGUACGCGAGCUGGGUUUAGAACGUCGUGAGACAGUUCGGUCCCUAUCUGCCGUGGGCGCUGGAGAAUUGAGGGGGGCUGCUCCUAGUACGAGAGGACCGGAGUGGACGCAUCACUGGUGUUCGGGUUGUCAUGCCAAUGGCACUGCCCGGUAGCUAAAUGCGGAAGAGAUAAGUGCUGAAAGCAUCUAAGCACGAAACUUGCCCCGAGAUGAGUUCUCCCUGAGACUUUAAGUCUCCUGAAGGAACGUUGAAGACGACGACGUUGAUAGGCCGGGUGUGUAAGCGCAGCGAUGCGUUGAGCUAACCGGUACUAAUGAACCGUGAGGCUUAACCUU
This 2902-nucleotide ribosomal RNA is filed under the name Klebsiella pneumoniae. Its description in RNAcentral is "23S ribosomal RNA". It matches the Rfam family "Bacterial large subunit ribosomal RNA". The record is from RNAcentral. Lineage: Bacteria; Pseudomonadati; Pseudomonadota; Gammaproteobacteria; Enterobacterales; Enterobacteriaceae.